GAAGAAAGAGGGAUAGAGAGAGCGAGAGAGAGAGAGAGAGCGCGCGGGCACGGAUGAGAGAGAGAGAGUGUGAGUGAGAGAGAGAGAAGGAGAGAGGGAGAGAGAGAGAGAGAGAGAGGGAGACUAGCAAUAAGUGGAGUAGAGAAGAACAAAAACAACAGGCAAACGGAAAAUCUCAUGGUAUCAUGGAUUUGGUUAGAGUGGUAAUCGCGAAGAUUGCCCCAGCACUUUAACUUCUUCGCUAUACUAUAUAUAUACACAAACACGAAUACACAUAUACGCAUAUUGUAUAUAUGUAUAUAUAUAUAUAUAUAAAUUAUAUAUAGACUGAGAAAGAAAGAAAGAAAGAGAGAGUGUGUGACUGAGUGAUAGAUGUAGAUCAAAUACGUAUAUAUAUUAUAUACACACCUAUGUUGUAUAAUAUACCAUAGAGGUUCACACGUUCACAUUCUUUUUACAUAUCUACUAUACCCCUGUCUUCUCCCUCACUCUAUCCUUUGUGUGUUUAUAUAUAAAUAUAUAAAUAUAUAUAUAUAUUUAUAUAUAUACACACACACACACACACACACGUACAUAUUUAUAGAUAAGUAAAACUAUUUAUACCGUUUGUGAUAUGUGGAUGUAUGCCGAUAUAUAUACGUAAAUAUAUUUACGUAUAUAUAUAUAAAUAGACUAAUACACAGAUACACAUAUAUACACAUACACACACACGCACGUACACACGUACAGACACAUGCAACAACUCAAUCGUACAUACAUACACAUACACACACACACACCAUUUCACAACAUCAUACUAUAAACAGAUUUAGUACUGCAAUCCGAAAAGGAACAUAUUUACCAUCCAACGGAACCUGGUUCGGAGAGAUAUAUUCAAAACCACGCCAUGGUAUG
Molecule: long non-coding RNA, 894 nt
Filed under: Octopus vulgaris (common octopus)
Lineage: Eukaryota; Metazoa; Mollusca; Cephalopoda; Octopoda; Octopodidae
Source: RNAcentral